AUGUAAUAAAAAAAUUUUUUAAUUAAACUAUUAACCCAUCACCAAUAUCAAAUAACUUUAUAUAAAUAUAAAAAUUAUUAUGCUAGAAUGAGUAAUAAGAAAAAGAUUUUCUCCAUAAUAUAACUGUAAUGCAAAAUAAACUAAAGCUGCCAAUUACUGUACAUAUAACUAAAGUAGUAACUUCACUAGAAAAUUCUACUUUCCUAAACAUUAACCUAACACAAGAAUAUUACCGGAAAGAUUAAAAAAAUGGGAAGGAACUCGGCAAAUAUAAACCCCGCCUGUUUACCAAAAACAUCGCCUCCUGUUAAAAUAUAAGAGGUCCCGCCUGCCCCGUGAUUUAAUUUAACGGCCGCGGUAUCUUGACCGUGCAAAGGUAGCACAAUCAAUUGUUCUUUAAAUAAGGACUAGUAUGAACGGCACCACGAGGGUUUAACUGUCUCCCCACUUUAAUCAAUGAAAUUGAUCUUCCCGUGAAGAAGCGGGAAAUAUUUAUAUAAGACGAAAAGACCCCAUGGAGCUUUAAACUUAUCAUCAUUUACCAAAACCUAAACACAUAUUCGGCAAACAUGACAUUGAUAGUUUUCGGUUGGGGCGACCCCGGAGAAAAACUAAUCCUCCGGACUGAAUAGAAAAAAAUCUAAUACUAGAGUGACAACUCGAAUAAUCAAAACCUUGACAAAAUGACCCAGAAUUUAUCUGAUCAACGAACCAAGUUACCCUGGGGAUAACAGCGCAAUCCAUUUCAAGAGCCCUUAUCGACAAAUGGGUUUACGACCUCGAUGUUGGAUCGGGAUAUCCUAGCAGCGCAGCCGUUGCUUANGG
RNAcentral lists this ribosomal RNA (825 nucleotides) under Hyperolius phantasticus (fantastic reed frog). Its description in RNAcentral is "partial 16S ribosomal RNA". It matches the Rfam family "Bacterial large subunit ribosomal RNA", at positions 1461 to 2571 of the family's 2925-position model. The record is from RNAcentral. Lineage: Eukaryota; Metazoa; Chordata; Amphibia; Anura; Hyperoliidae.